This 754-nucleotide ribosomal RNA is filed under the name uncultured crenarchaeote. RNAcentral's name for it is "bacterial SSU rRNA". It matches the Rfam family "Archaeal small subunit ribosomal RNA", at positions 102 to 859 of the family's 1478-position model. Lineage: Archaea; Thermoproteati; Thermoproteota. The record is from RNAcentral.
AGUCAACCUAACUCGUGGACGUGGAUAACCUCGGGAAACUGAGAAUAAACCACGAUAGAUCAUAGUGCCUGGAAUGGCUUAUGGUCCAAACAGUUUACUGCCAUGGGAUGGGACUGCGGCCUAUCAGCUUGUUGGUGAGGUAAUGGCCCACCGAAGCGAUUACAGGUACGGGCUCUGAGAGGAGAAGCCCGGAGAUGGGUACUGAGACACGGACCCAGGCCCUAUGGGGCGCAGCAGGCGAGAAACCUUAGCAAUGUGCGAAAGCACGACUGGGUCAGUCCGAGUGAUUCCUGAUAAAGGAGUCUUUUGCUUGUCCUAAAAGCACAGGUGAAUAAGGGGUGGGCAAGUCUGGUGUCAGCCGCCGCGGUAAUGCCAGCACCUCGAGUGGUCAGGACGUUUAUUGGGCCUAAAGCAUCCGUAGCCGGCUCUGCAAGUCUUCGGUCAAAUCCACCUGCUCAACAGAUGGGCUGCUGGAGAUACUACAGAGCUAGGGAGUGGGAGAGGCAGACGGUAUUCAGUGGGUAGGGGUAAAAUCCUCUGAUCCAUUGAGGACCACCAGUGGCAAGGCGGUCUGCCAGAACACGUUCGACGGUGAGGGAUGAAAGCUGGGGGAGCAAACCGGAUUAGAUACCCGGGUAGUCCCAGCUGCAAACGAUGCAAACUCGGUGAUGCAUUGGCUUAUGGCCAAUGCAGUGCCGCAGGGAAGCCGUUAAGUUUGCCGCCUGGGAAGUACGGACGCAAGUCUGAAACUUAA